Molecule: long non-coding RNA, 723 nt
Organism: Oncorhynchus tshawytscha (Chinook salmon)
Lineage: Eukaryota; Metazoa; Chordata; Actinopteri; Salmoniformes; Salmonidae
Source: Ensembl
GAACCCCAACAACAGAACGGUGUGGAGGUAACCCCAACAACAGAACGGUGUGGAGGUAACCCCAACAACAGAACGGUGUGGAGGUAACCCCAACAACAGAACGGUGUGGAGGUAACCCCAACAACAGAACGGUGUGGAGGUAACCCCAACAACAGAACGGUGAGUUAACAGAACGGUGUGGAGGUAACCCCAACAACAGAAUGGUGUGGAGGUAACCCCAACAACAGAACGGUGUGGAGGUAACCCUAACAACAGAACGGUGUGGAGGUAACCCCAACAACAGAUCGGUGUGGAGGUAACCCCAACAACAGAACGGUGUGGAGGUAACCCUAACAACAGAACGGUGAGUUAACAGAACGGUGUGGAGGUAACCCCAACAACAGAACGGUGAGUUAACAGAAUGGUGUGGAGGUAACCCCAACAACAGAACGGUGUGGAGGUAACCCUAACAACAGAACGGUGUGGAGGUAACCCUAACAACAGAACGGUGAGUUAACAGAACGGUGUGGAGGUAACCCCAACAACAGAACGGUGAGUUAACAGAAUGGUGUGGAGGUAACCCCAACAACAGAACAGUGUGGAGGUAACCCUAACAACAGAACGGUGUGGAGGUAACCCUAACAACAGAACGGUGUGGAGGUAACCCCAACAACAGAACGGUGUGGAGGUAACCCCAACAACAGAACGGUGUGGAGGUAACCCCAACAACAGAACGGUGUGGAG